GACAGAUGAACUGAUAUAACUCUAAGCGGUGGAUCACUCGGCUCGUAUGUCGAUGAAGAGCGCAGCCAGCUGCGUGAAGUAAUGUGAAUUGCAGGACACAUUGAACAUCGAUAUCUUGAACGCACAUUGCGGCCUCGGGUAUUCCCGAGGCCACGCCUGUCUCAGGGUCGGUUUAAAGUAUCUAUCGUCAGUUGACUCAC
This 200-nucleotide ribosomal RNA is filed under the name Branchiodrilus hortensis. Its description in RNAcentral is "5.8S ribosomal RNA". The stretch from base 18 to 170 matches the Rfam family "5.8S ribosomal RNA". From Rfam's summary of the family: 5.8S ribosomal RNA (5.8S rRNA) is a component of the large subunit of the eukaryotic ribosome. It is transcribed by RNA polymerase I as part of the 45S precursor that also contains 18S and 28S rRNA. Functionally, it is thought that 5.8S rRNA may be involved in ribosome translocation. Lineage: Eukaryota; Metazoa; Annelida; Clitellata; Tubificida; Naididae. The record is from RNAcentral.